UACACAAGGGACACGGUAACUAUGAGGAC
RNAcentral lists this small RNA (29 nucleotides) under Bombyx mori (domestic silkworm). RNAcentral describes it as "ovarian small RNA-20176". The record is from RNAcentral. Lineage: Eukaryota; Metazoa; Arthropoda; Insecta; Lepidoptera; Bombycidae.